Eutrema salsugineum is the source of this 107-nucleotide small nucleolar RNA. It matches the Rfam family "Plant small nucleolar RNA R71". Rfam says of the family: R71 is a member of the C/D box family of snoRNAs containing the C (UGAUGA) and D (CUGA) box motifs. Multiple nearly identical copies of this snoRNA have been identified in Arabidopsis, and it is thought to function as a 2'-O-ribose methylation guide for 18S ribosomal RNA. NCBI's taxonomy places the organism in Eukaryota, Viridiplantae, Streptophyta, Magnoliopsida, Brassicales, Brassicaceae. The record is from Rfam.
AAUCCAUGGUGAGGUCAAUCACGGUCAUACUCUUUAAAACGCUCCCAGGCUUCAUAGAAAGGUUCAGCCGGUCCUUGCUGGAAACUUGAGAUCUUUGUUCUAAGUAA